AAAAAGACGAGAUGUUCUUUUCUUAAAAACAUUACAGAAUAUAGUCCUAACAUAGUGAGACUGGUGCCUUCUGGGAAGAGGCAGACGUGACUCCACAGCAGCAGUUGGUGCUUCACUUAGAAUGGCCACGGUCUGAAAGUAGCUUGAUCAGUGUGAUUAAAUGGAGUAAUGUGUAAUGCAAAGAAUUUCCCCUUUGGUCCUUCCAGGUUACUAAGUGAUUCUCCACCUUGUAGAGAAAAUGAUGCAAUACAAACAAGGAAAAGUGAAGAAAGUCAGGAGAUUCAGAAAAAAUUAUAUGCACUAGAAGAACACCUUAGCAGUGAGGUACAAGCCAAGGAGGAACUGGAACAGAAGUGCAAGUCUAUUAAUACUCGUCUAGAGAAAACAGCAAAGGAACUAGAAGAAGAG
RNAcentral lists this long non-coding RNA (408 nucleotides) under Rattus norvegicus (Norway rat). Its description in RNAcentral is "long non-coding RNA NONRATT024159". The record is from RNAcentral. Lineage: Eukaryota; Metazoa; Chordata; Mammalia; Rodentia; Muridae.